Molecule: ribosomal RNA, 482 nt
Filed under: uncultured bacterium
Lineage: Bacteria
Description: bacterial SSU rRNA
Rfam family: Bacterial small subunit ribosomal RNA
Source: RNAcentral
GAUGAACGCUGGCGGCGUGCUUAACACAUGCAAGUCGAACGAUGAAGCUGGAGCUUGCUCUGGUGGAUUAGUGGCGAACGGGUGAGUAACACGUGAGCAACCUGCCCCUGACUCUGGGAUAACAGCCGGAAACGGCUGCUAAUACCGGAUAUGCACCAUGAACGCAUGUUCUGUGGUGGGAAAGAUUUUUCGGUUGGGGAUGGGCUCGCGGCCUAUCAGCUUGUUGGUGAGGUAAUGGCUCACCAAGGCGUCGACGGGUAGCCGGCCUGAGAGGGUGACCGGCCACACUGGGACUGAGACACGGCCCAGACUCCUACGGGAGGCAGCAGUGGGGAAUAUUGCACAAUGGGCGAAAGCCUGAUGCAGCAACGCCGCGUGAGGGAUGACGGCCUUCGGGUUGUAAACCUCUUUUAGCAGGGAAGAAGCGAGAGUGACGGUACCUGCAGAAAAAGCGCCGGCUAACUACGUGCCAGCAGCCGCCG